AGCGCAGACGGCGAAGCAAGUCUGAAGUGAAAUGCAUGGGCUCAACCCAUGAAUUGCUUUGGAAACUGUUUGGCUUGAGUGUCGGAGGGGUAAGCGGAAUUCCUAGUGUAGCGGUGAAAUGCGUAGAUAUUAGGAGGAACACCGGAGGCGAAGGCGGCUUACUGGACGACAACUGACGUUGAGACUCGAAGGCGUGGGGAGCAAACA
RNAcentral lists this ribosomal RNA (207 nucleotides) under uncultured bacterium. Its description in RNAcentral is "partial 16S ribosomal RNA". It matches the Rfam family "Bacterial small subunit ribosomal RNA", at positions 568 to 774 of the family's 1533-position model. The record is from RNAcentral.